RNAcentral lists this ribosomal RNA (253 nucleotides) under uncultured bacterium. Its description in RNAcentral is "partial 16S ribosomal RNA". It matches the Rfam family "Bacterial small subunit ribosomal RNA", at positions 524 to 776 of the family's 1533-position model. The record is from RNAcentral.
UACGUAGGUGGCAAGCGUUAUCCGGAAUUAUUGGGCGUAAAGCGCGCGCAGGUGGUUUCUUAAGUCUGAUGUGAAAGCCCACGGCUCAACCGUGGAGGGUCAUUGGAAACUGGGAGACUUGAGUGCAGAAGAGGAAAGUGGAAUUCCAUGUGUAGCGGUGAAAUGCGUAGAGAUAUGGAGGAACACCAGUGGCGAAGGCGGCUCACUGGCUCAUUUCUGACGCUCAGGCGCGACAGCGUGGGGAUCAAACAGG